This 253-nucleotide ribosomal RNA is filed under the name uncultured bacterium. RNAcentral's name for it is "partial 16S ribosomal RNA". It matches the Rfam family "Bacterial small subunit ribosomal RNA", at positions 524 to 776 of the family's 1533-position model. The record is from RNAcentral.
UACGAGGGGGGCGAGCGUUGUUCGGAAUUAUUGGGCGUAAAGGGUGCGUAGGCGGUUUGGUAAGUCUGAUGUGAAAUCUAUGGGCUCAACUCAUAGUCUGCAUCGGAAACUGCCGGGCUUGAGUAUGGGAGAGGUGAGUGGAAUUCCUGGUGUAGCGGUGAAAUGCGCAGAUAUCAGGAGGAACACCGGUGGCGAAGGCGGGUCUCUGGGCCGAUAUUGACGCUGAGGAGCGAAAGCGUGGGGAGCGAACAGG